Molecule: ribosomal RNA, 254 nt
Filed under: uncultured bacterium
Lineage: Bacteria
Description: partial 16S ribosomal RNA
Rfam family: Bacterial small subunit ribosomal RNA
Source: RNAcentral
UACGGGGGGAGCAAGCGUUGUUCGGAUUUACUGGGCGUAAAGGGCGUGUAGGCGGCCACCGCAAGUCGACUGUGAAAUCUCCGGGCUUAACUCGGAAAGGUCAGCCGAUACUGCGGGGCUAGAGUGCAGAAGGGGCAACUGGAAUUCUCGGUGUAGCGGUGAAAUGCGUAGAUAUCGAGAGGAACACCUGCGGCGAAGGCGGGUUGCUGGGCUGACACUGACGCUGAGGCGCGAAAGCCAGGGGAGCGAACGGG